This 147-nucleotide small nucleolar RNA is filed under the name Nannospalax galili (Upper Galilee mountains blind mole rat). The record is from RNAcentral. Lineage: Eukaryota; Metazoa; Chordata; Mammalia; Rodentia; Spalacidae.
AAUGCACAUUGUUAGAGCUUGGAGUUGACGUCACGAACUGGCCAAUGAACUCACGAGUGUAGGUAGUGUGCUGCCUGAGUGGCAGGUUUUCGCUAACCCUCCACUCUGGCCUGUGAGUGGACUUUGAUAGUAACGUUUGCUGCAAGU